This 434-nucleotide ribosomal RNA is filed under the name uncultured eukaryote. RNAcentral describes it as "partial 18S ribosomal RNA". It matches the Rfam family "Eukaryotic small subunit ribosomal RNA", at positions 551 to 874 of the family's 1831-position model. The record is from RNAcentral.
GAGGGGCAAGUCUGGUGCCAGCAGCCGCGGUAAUUCCAGCUCUAAUAGCGUAUAUUAAUAUUGUUGCAGUUAAAAAGCUCGUAGUUGAAAUUUGGAACUUUAUUAUAUUGGUUUAUUUUUGAUGAACUGUAUAAUGGGUUUCUUCCUACUAGAGUUCGAUUCGUGUUCUUAAUUGAAUGGAGUAGCUAUCUCUCGGGGUGGUCAAUUGGUUGUUAUAUCUCCACUAAUAAGCAGAGAGGGGUAAAACUCUCAAAGUAAGUUAUGUGGGUUAAGGUAUGAUGGUUAAUUGGAGUUCUAGUUCAUUUACUUUUGAGAAAAUUAGAGUGUUUAAAGCAGCCUCUUGGGGCACUGAAUACAUUAGCAUGGGAUAAUAAAAUAGGAUCUUCACAAUAUAUUUUAUUGGUUUAAAUUGGAUAUGAAGAUAAUGAUUAAUA